This 24-nucleotide small nuclear RNA is filed under the name Arabidopsis thaliana (thale cress). RNAcentral describes it as "snRNA_03297". Lineage: Eukaryota; Viridiplantae; Streptophyta; Magnoliopsida; Brassicales; Brassicaceae. The record is from RNAcentral.
AGCGUUUGUACAACUAGUGCAUCA